RNAcentral lists this ribosomal RNA (253 nucleotides) under uncultured bacterium. RNAcentral describes it as "partial 16S ribosomal RNA". It matches the Rfam family "Bacterial small subunit ribosomal RNA", at positions 524 to 776 of the family's 1533-position model. The record is from RNAcentral.
UACGUAGGUGGCAAGCGUUGUCCGGAUUUACUGGGCGUAAAGAGCGCGCAGACGGUCGUAUAAGUCGAAUGUGAAAGCCCCCGGCUCAACUGGGGAGGGUCAUUCGAUACUGUUCGACUCGAAGGCAGGAGAGGGAAGUGGAAUUCCGGGUGUAGUGGUGAAAUGCGUAGAUAUCCGGAGGAACACCAGUGGCGAAGGCGACUUUCUGGCCUGUUCUUGACGCUGAGGCGCGAAAGCUAGGGGAGCAAACGGG